Long non-coding RNA from Mya arenaria, 1911 nucleotides. RefSeq lists it as uncharacterized. The record is from RefSeq and is a predicted model, not a curated record. NCBI's taxonomy places the organism in Eukaryota, Metazoa, Mollusca, Bivalvia, Myida, Myidae. The transcript is spliced from 3 exons.
CUGCGCGGAGUUUGACGGGUCGUAAGAAAAUAGUUCAUCAUGGCCGACCAAGAAGAUGUUCAAACAACCAAGAGAUAUGUUAGUCCAAAGACAGAAUGAGGAGCGAACCUUUACCACUUAUUUGUGUAGAAGAGUAUGGUACCAGGGGUGCAGCUGACUCUGAUUCCCGUGUUGUUCUAAUGAAAAAAGGCAGAUGAGGCACUGGAAUCCAAAUGUAAUCAAAAAUGCCAUUGUAUGAGGAUUGACCUGCAAUGCAUGGCAAUCAUCUUAACACAACUGCAACGCCUUCCUUGGAAAAAUGAGUGCAAGAUGGAAACAAAGCGUUCAGUGGAACAUCUUGUCAUCUCAAAUAUUUGAUGACUUACAUAUUGAUGUGAAGUUGAAGAUAAAAGUCAUCUGUUGGUCCGUGAUUAUUAAAUAAAUCCGAACAUAUAUUUUAAAAGGGUAAAAUGAUAAAGGAUUUAUAUACGCUUUAAGUGGUUUUCCUAUAUUAUGGAGGGAAGAUAACUUCAAAAACAGAAACAGAUGGCAUCGGCAGACCAAAUAAAGGAGAACUAUUUUGUUCAGUUCAAUUUUUAAGACUGCAGAAAAUCUGUUAAUAGAGCACAUCCUUGCAAAUGCCAUAUUGUAAACUGGGCUCUUUAAAAUGUGAAAAGGUGAAAGUGGUCUAGAGGAUAAGCCCCACAUUCAAGGUUGUGAGUUCAAGACCUCCAAGAUACUUUCUCUUGACCUCAGGAAAAGGAUGUCCAUACUUGUUUCUUCUUAGGCAACAGACUUAAGAGUGAUUUUGUAAGCUUCCAGCUUGCAUAGCAAUCUGAUAAGGCAUAAAAUAAGUACUAGCUGACUUGCAAACAGUUUUUCCAUUUGUGUUGAUUUAUUUUUCAGUCUGUUGGAAUGUUUAUUAGAAGUGAUGCGCAUUGCUUACUGCAACCAAUAUUAAUUUUCUUUAUUAAGUUGAAUUUAACAAACACAUAACAUGGCUUGUGAUUUUACGGAUGGCUGAUACAUGUUUAUUUCGUUGAUUGUAUGAGUUUAUUUUCUCAAAUGAUGUAAUAAAAGUUGAAUGAAUGAAUGACUGUCCUUUUUUGUUUGUCCUUUUUUGUUUGAAGAAAAUGUGUUGAGGUUUUGGCAUAGCAUAGUGUCAUCAUCAUCAUCACCAUUGUUGUGUACAAAUAAAACAUUCAAAACAAUGUAUUAAAAACCAAACUGUCAAGCCAAGUACUCAAAGAGGCACAAGGAUAUUGCUAAAGAGACCGGUAAUACAAUUAGACAAAUAAAAUGUAAAGAAAGAUCUAUAAUUCUGACACAUGGUAAUGCUUUAGUCCUCUCAUUGUGUGUUUAUGGUUAAAGAGGAGACAUACAGUAUAUUUUGUAAUGAAGACUUAAAUUUGUAUGGCAACUUAAAGCCAUAUAUGGGGAUUAAGCGCCAGAAAUAUUGUGAAGUCUCCCAAAAGACUCAAUGCACUUAAAAGGUCUUGCCACAGAAAUGAAAGUAAAAAUGGGAGCAAAAACUAAUUUAUCAUUAGUUUUACAUUGGAUUGCAUACACAUGGCUCUGUUAUUACUUGACUAAUAUUAAAAAUAAAAUUAAGAGACAUGUUGAUCCAAACUGUAAUUAUUCUUGUUUGCAUUUUAUGGAGUUGGACAUAAAAGAGUCAUUUGGUGAAGAGUGAUCUAAAGGCUAAUAAUAAUUCAAAAUAGGUUAAGUAUUAUUGAAAAAAGUCUGGUAUACAUUGCUGAAAAGCUUAGUAACCUGGCUAAAUAUUUGUUUAAGGCUUUUAUUUACAAAAAAAUGAAUCAGUUGAGUAUCUUAUCAGUUACUCUUUUGGUGUUGUUGCUUUUAAUUAAAAAUGACAAUUUACUCAAAAAUAUUGAGACUAAUAAUUAUAGAUUUAGACAAGUAUAAUGUGUA